UCUAAACGUUUGACCGUCCGUCUUAUUUGAGAAAAUUAUGAAAAAAAUUAAAAAGAUAAGUCACGCAUAAAGUAUUAAUCAUAUUUUAUCAUCUAACAACAAUGAAAAUACUAAUUAUAAAAAAAUUCAUAUAAGAUGGACAGUCAAACGUUAGAUACGGAAACCCAU
Molecule: microRNA precursor, 168 nt
Filed under: Oryza glumipatula
Lineage: Eukaryota; Viridiplantae; Streptophyta; Magnoliopsida; Poales; Poaceae
Description: MIR812 microRNA precursor family
Rfam family: MIR812 microRNA precursor family
Source: Rfam by way of RNAcentral